This 331-nucleotide ribosomal RNA is filed under the name uncultured eukaryote. RNAcentral's name for it is "partial 18S ribosomal RNA". It matches the Rfam family "Eukaryotic small subunit ribosomal RNA", at positions 1470 to 1796 of the family's 1831-position model. The record is from RNAcentral.
CCCUUAGAUGUCCUGGGCCGCACGCGCGUUACACUGAUGCAUUCAACGAGCUUAUAACCUUGGCCGAGAGGCCUGGGCAAUCUUGUUAACGUGCAUCGUGAUAGGGAUAGAUUAUUGAAAUUAUUAAUCUUGAACGAGGAAUUCCUAGUAAACGCAGAUCAUCAAUCUGCAUUGAUUACGUCCCUGCCCUUUGUACACACCGCCCGUCGCACCUACCGAUUGAAUGGUUUAGUGAGAUCUCUGGAUUGACGCUGGCUAGGGGGCGACCCUUGGCCAGGCUGUCGAGAAACUGCUCAAACUUGAUCAUUUAGAGGAAGUAAAAGUCGUAACA